GGUGUAUCUGCGCAGUCGUGUUGUAGAUGAAAAGGCCCCAGGGUUGGGAUCUGUAACUAAGGCUUUAACAGAAAAUCUUUGAACACGUAAAAGUCAGAAUAUACCUAGAACUUUUAACUGACUCCUUUGGAUGCCCUAAAGACCAAAAAAAAAAAAAGAAUGAGCUAUUACGGAAGUAGCUACCGGAUUGUCAACGUGGACUCCAAAUAUCCAGGCUAUCCUCCAGAGCAUGCCAUAGCCGAGAAGAGAAGAGCGAGGAGGCGCCUGCUCCACAAAGAUGGCAGCUGUAACGUGUACUUUAAACACAUUUUUGGAGAAUGGGGG
This 324-nucleotide long non-coding RNA is filed under the name Rattus norvegicus (Norway rat). RNAcentral describes it as "long non-coding RNA NONRATT005023". Lineage: Eukaryota; Metazoa; Chordata; Mammalia; Rodentia; Muridae. The record is from RNAcentral.